UACGGAGGAUGCGAGCGUUAUCCGGAUUUAUUGGGUUUAAAGGGUGCGUAGGCGGGCUUUUAAGUCAGCGGUAAAAAUUCGGGGCUCAACCCCGUCCGGCCGUUGAAACUGGGGGCCUUGAGUGGGCGAGAAGAGGGCGGAAUGCGUGGUGUAGCGGUGAAAUGCAUAGAUAUCACGCAGAACCCCGAUUGCGAAGGCAGCCUUCCGGCGCCCUACUGACGCUGAGGCACGAAAGUGCGGGGAUCGAACAGG
This 252-nucleotide ribosomal RNA is filed under the name uncultured bacterium. Its description in RNAcentral is "partial 16S ribosomal RNA". It matches the Rfam family "Bacterial small subunit ribosomal RNA", at positions 524 to 776 of the family's 1533-position model. The record is from RNAcentral.